UGAACGCUGGCGGCGUGCUUAACACAUGCAAGUCGAACGGUGAAGGCGGAGCUUGCUCUGCUGGAUCAGUGGCGAACGGGUGAGUAACACGUGAGCAAUCUGCCCCUGACUCUGGGAUAAGCGCUGGAAACGGCGUCUAAUACUGGAUACGAGCUGCGAAGGCAUCUUCAGCAGCUGGAAAGAACUUCGGUCAGGGAUGAGCUCGCGGCCUAUCAGCUUGUUGGUGAGGUAACGGCUCACCAAGGCGUCGACGGGUAGCCGGCCUGAGAGGGUGACCGGCCACACUGGGACUGAGACACGGCCCAGACUCCUACGGGAGGCAGCAGUGGGGAAUAUUGCACAAUGGGCGAAAGCCUGAUGCAGCAACGCCGCGUGAGGGACGACGGCCUUCGGGUUGUAAACCUCUUUUAGCAGGGAAGAAGCGAAAGUGACGGUACCUGCAGAAAAAGCGCCGGCUAACUACGUG
Molecule: ribosomal RNA, 466 nt
Filed under: uncultured bacterium
Lineage: Bacteria
Description: partial 16S ribosomal RNA
Rfam family: Bacterial small subunit ribosomal RNA
Source: RNAcentral